CAGCAGCCACGGUAAUACGAAGGGGGCUAGCGUUGCUCGGAAUGACUGGGCGUAAAGGGCGCGUAGGCGGCGAUCAAAGUCAGGCGUGAAAUUCCUGGGCUCAACCUGGGGGCUGCGUUUGAUACUUGAUUGCUAGAGUGGGGAGGAGGGUCGUGGAAUUCCCAGUGUAGAGGUGAAAUUCGUAGAUAUUGGGAAGAACACCGGUGGCGAAGGCGGCGGCCUGGUCCUUGACUGACGCUGAGGCGCGAAAGCGUGGGGAGCAAACAGGAUUAGAUACCCCAGUAGUCCCUGUCUCUUAUAC
Molecule: ribosomal RNA, 301 nt
Filed under: uncultured bacterium
Lineage: Bacteria
Description: partial 16S ribosomal RNA
Rfam family: Bacterial small subunit ribosomal RNA
Source: RNAcentral